Molecule: ribosomal RNA, 257 nt
Filed under: Enterobacter hormaechei
Lineage: Bacteria; Pseudomonadati; Pseudomonadota; Gammaproteobacteria; Enterobacterales; Enterobacteriaceae
Description: partial 16S ribosomal RNA
Rfam family: Bacterial small subunit ribosomal RNA
Source: RNAcentral
CGGUCCAGACUCCUACGGGAGGCAGCAGUGGGGAAUAUUGCACAAUGGGCGCAAGCCUGAUGCAGCCAUGCCGCGUGUAUGAAGAAGGCCUUCGGGUUGUAAAGUACUUUCAGCGGGGAGGAAGGCGAUAAGGUUAAUAACCUUGUCGAUUGACGUUACCCGCAGAAGAAGCACCGGCUAACUCCGUGCCAGCAGCCGCGGUAAUACGGAGGGUGCAAGCGUUAAUCGGAAUUACUGGGCGUAAAGCGCACGCAGGC